CCUACGGGGUGCAGCAGUGGGGAAUAUUGGACAAUGGGCGAAAGCCUGAUCCAGCAAUGCCGCGUGUGUGAAGAAGGUCUUCGGAUUGUAAAGCACUUUCGACGGGGACGAUGAUGGCGGUACCCGUAGAAGAAGCCCCGGCUAACUUCGUGCCAGCAGCCGCGGUAAUACGAAGGGGGCUAGCGUUGCUCGGAAUGACUGGGCGUAAAGGGCGCGUAGGCGGUUUAUGCAGUCAGAUGUGAAAUCCCCGGGCUUAACCUGGGAACUGCAUUUGAGACGCAUAGACUAGAGGUCGAGAGAGGGUUGUGGAAUUCCCAGUGUAGAGGUGAAAUUCGUAGAUAUUGGGAAGAACACCGGUGGCGAAGGCGGCAACCUGGCUCGAUACUGACGCUGAGGCGCGAAAGCGUGGGGAGCAAACAGGAUUAGAUACCCGCGUAGUC
This 440-nucleotide ribosomal RNA is filed under the name uncultured bacterium. RNAcentral describes it as "bacterial SSU rRNA". It matches the Rfam family "Bacterial small subunit ribosomal RNA", at positions 338 to 795 of the family's 1533-position model. The record is from RNAcentral.